GACGGAGGUGGCAAACGUUGCUCGGAAUCACUGGGCUUAAAGGGCGUGUAGGCGGUCGAUCAAGUCGGAUGUGAAAGCCCUCGGCUCAACCGAGGAAUCGCAUCUGAUACUGGUUGGCUAGAGUGCGGCAGGGGUAAGUGGAACUCCAGGUGUAGCGGUGAAAUGCGUAGAUAUCUGGAGGAACGCCGGUGGCGAAAGCGACUUACUGGGCCGCAACUGACGCUGAGGCGCGAAAGCCAGGGGAGCGAACGGGAUUAGAUACCCGCGUA
This 269-nucleotide ribosomal RNA is filed under the name uncultured prokaryote. RNAcentral describes it as "partial 16S ribosomal RNA". It matches the Rfam family "Bacterial small subunit ribosomal RNA", at positions 524 to 792 of the family's 1533-position model. The record is from RNAcentral.